RNAcentral lists this unclassified non-coding RNA (352 nucleotides) under soil metagenome. RNAcentral's name for it is "partial contains 5.8S ribosomal RNA, internal transcribed spacer 2, and large subunit ribosomal RNA". The stretch from base 1 to 120 matches the Rfam family "5.8S ribosomal RNA", at positions 35 to 154 of the family's 154-position model. The record is from RNAcentral.
GAUGAAGAACGUAGCGAAAUGCGAUAAGUAAUGUGAAUUGCAGAAUUCAGUGAAUCAUCGAAUCUUUGAACGCACAUUGCGCCCGCCAGUAUUCUGGCGGGCAUGCCUGUUCGAGCGUCAUUACAACCCUCAGGCCCCCGGGCCUGGCGUUGGGGAUCGGCGGAGCCCCCCGUGGGCACACGCCGUCCCCCAAAUGCAGUGGCGGUCCCGCCGCAGCUUCCAUCGCGUAGUAGCUAACACCUCGCGACUGGAGAGCGGCGUGGCCACGCCGUAAAACACCCAACUCUUCUGAAGUUGACCUCGAAUCAGGUAGGAAUACCCGCUGAACUUAAGCAUAUCAAUAAGCGGAGGA